AGCUAUAAGUUCUCUGUAUCGCAGCUAACGCAAUAAGCACUCCGCCUGGGGAGUACGACCGCAAGGUUGAAACUCAAAGGAAUUGACGGGGGCCCGCACAAGCGGUGGAGCAUGKGGUUUAAUUCGAAGCWACGCGAAGAACCUUACCAGGUCUUGACAUACUCGUGCUAUUCCUAGAGAUAGGAAGUUCCUUCGGGACACGGGAUACAGGUGGUGCAUGGUUGUCGUCAGCUCGUGUCGUGAGAUGUUGGGUUAAGUCCCGCAACGAGCGCAACCCCUAUUGUUAGUUGCCAUCAUUAAGUUGGGCACUCUAACGAGACUGCCGGUGAUAAACCGGAGGAAGGUGGGGAUGACGUCAAAUCAUCAUGCCCCUUAUGACCUGGGCUACACACGUGCUACAAUGGAUGGUACAACGAGUCGCGAGACAGUGAUGUUUAGCUAAUCUCUUAAAACCAUUCUCAGUUCGGAUUGUAGGCUGCAACUCGCCUACAUGAAGUCGGAAUCGCUAGUAAUCGCGGAUCAGCACGCCGCGGUGAAUACGUUCCCGGGCCUUGUACACACCGCCCGUCACACCACGGGAGUUGGGAGUACCCGAAGUAGGUUGCCUAACCG
This 612-nucleotide ribosomal RNA is filed under the name Lactococcus lactis. RNAcentral describes it as "bacterial SSU rRNA". The record is from RNAcentral. Lineage: Bacteria; Bacillati; Bacillota; Bacilli; Lactobacillales; Streptococcaceae.